This 437-nucleotide long non-coding RNA is filed under the name Homo sapiens (human). RNAcentral describes it as "non-protein coding lnc-COPG1-3:7". The record is from RNAcentral. Lineage: Eukaryota; Metazoa; Chordata; Mammalia; Primates; Hominidae.
GCUGGGUCCGGGCCCGGCCAGACUGGGUGGAAAUCUGGCUGACCUUGGUGGUCUGUCUUGGCCAGCUGGAGCAAAGGGAUGCCAGGGGACGGGUCUCGGUGCAGUGACUGCCAUUAGCUUGGGGCCGCAGAAAGUUUCUCCCCUUUCUCGGGCUCCUGCCAGGCCCUUGGCUUUCAGAGCCAGGCCCGAUUUCUAGAUAACAUUUAAGUUUGCAGAAAAGGGGAUGCCAAGUCACGGUGGUCACGGCUGUGGGAUGCAGCCUCUGAGAUUUGUAUUAAUUUUUGUGAGCCGGGGAAAGGCCUUGCUGCUUUCUCCGCCAGGACUGAUGUGUCUUCCCAAGAUGAAAGUGCCUGAUGCUGCUGCUUUCUCCCCUGAUGGGAAGUGGAAGCCAUGAUUCUGCAGUCCUGGCCAUAAAGCUGUGAAUUGUACUAGCUGGC